Molecule: ribosomal RNA, 2302 nt
Filed under: Listeria monocytogenes
Lineage: Bacteria; Bacillati; Bacillota; Bacilli; Caryophanales; Listeriaceae
Description: bacterial LSU rRNA
Rfam family: Bacterial large subunit ribosomal RNA
Source: RNAcentral
UUAAGUUAGAAAGGGCGCACGGUGGAUGCCUUGGCACUAGGAGCCGAAGAAGGACGGGACUAACACCGAUAUGCUUUGGGGAGCUGUACGUAAGCGUUGAUCCAGAGAUUUCCGAAUGGGGGAACCCACUAUCUUUAGUCGGAUAGUAUCCUUACGUGAAUACAUAGCGUGAGGAAGGCAGACCCAGGGAACUGAAACAUCUAAGUACCUGGAGGAAGAGAAAGAAAAAUCGAUUUCCUGAGUAGCGGCGAGCGAAACGGAAAGAGCCCAAACCAAGAAGCUUGCUUCUUGGGGUUGUAGGACACUCUAUACGGAGUUACAAAAGAAAGUUAUAAAUGAAGCGGUCUGGAAAGGCCCGCCAAAGACGGUAACAGCCCGGUAGUUGAAAUGGCUUUCCCUCCAGAGUGGAUCCUGAGUACGGCGGAACACGUGAAAUUCCGUCGGAAUCCGGGAGGACCAUCUCCCAAGGCUAAAUACUCCCUAGUGACCGAUAGUGAACCAGUACCGUGAGGGAAAGGUGAAAAGCACCCCGGAAGGGGAGUGAAACAGUUCCUGAAACCGUGUGCCUACAAGUAGUUAGAGCCCGUUAAUGGGUGAUAGCGUGCCUUUUGUAGAAUGAACCGGCGAGUUACGAUUUGUUGCAAGGUUAAGCGGAAAAAGCGGAGCCGUAGCGAAAGCGAGUCUGAAUAGGGCGCAUAAGUAACAGGUCGUAGACCCGAAACCAGGUGAUCUACCCAUGUCCAGGAUGAAGGUAAGGUAAUACUUACUGGAGGUCCGAACCCACGCACGUUGAAAAGUGCGGGGAUGAGGUGUGGGUAGCGGAGAAAUUCCAAUCGAACUUGGAGAUAGCUGGUUCUCUCCGAAAUAGCUUUAGGGCUAGCCUCGAGGUAAAGAGUCAUGGAGGUAGAGCACUGUUUGGACUAGGGGCCCUUCUCGGGUUACCGAAUUCAGAUAAACUCCGAAUGCCAUGUACUUAUACUCGGGAGUCAGACUGCGAGUGAUAAGAUCCGUAGUCGAAAGGGAAACAGCCCAGACCACCAGUUAAGGUCCCCAAAUAUAUGUUAAGUGGAAAAGGAUGUGGGGUUGCUUAGACAACCAGGAUGUUGGCUUAGAAGCAGCCACCAUUGAAAGAGUGCGUAAUAGCUCACUGGUCGAGUGACCCCGCGCCGAAAAUGUACCGGGGCUAAACAUAUUACCGAAACUGUGGAUGAACCUCUUUAGAGGUUCGUGGUAGGAGAGCGUUCUAAGGGCGGUGAAGUCAGACCGGAAGGACUGGUGGAGCGCUUAGAAGUGAGAAUGCCGGUAUGAGUAGCGAAAGAAGGGUGAGAAUCCCUUCCACCGAAUAUCUAAGGUUUCCUGAGGAAGGCUCGUCCGCUCAGGGUUAGUCGGGACCUAAGCCGAGGCCGAUAGGCGUAGGCGAUGGACAACAGGUAGAGAUUCCUGUACCAGUGCUAAUUGUUUAACCGAUGGGGUGACACAGAAGGAUAGGGAAUCGCACGAAUGGAAAUGUGCGUCCAAGCAGUGAGUGUGAGAAGUAGGCAAAUCCGCUUCUCGCGAAGCAUGAGCUGUGAUGGGGAAGGAAAUUAAGUACGGAAGUUCCUGAUUUCACGCUGUCAAGAAAAGCCUCUAGGAAGAGUAGUACUGCCCGUACCGCAAACCGACACAGGUAGAUGAGGAGAGAAUCCUAAGGUGAGCGAGAGAACUCUCGUUAAGGAACUCGGCAAAAUGACCCCGUAACUUCGGGAGAAGGGGUGCUCUAUUAGGGUGCAAGCCCGAGAGAGCCGCAGUGAAUAGGCCCAGGCGACUGUUUAGCAAAAACACAGGUCUCUGCAAAACCGUAAGGUGACGUAUAGGGGCUGACGCCUGCCCGGUGCUGGAAGGUUAAGAGGAGUGCUUAGCUUCGGCGAAGGUACGAAUUGAAGCCCCAGUAAACGGCGGCCGUAACUAUAACGGUCCUAAGGUAGCGAAAUUCCUUGUCGGGUAAGUUCCGACCCGCACGAAAGGCGCAACGAUCUGGGCACUGUCUCAACGAGAGACUCGGUGAAAUUAUAGUACCUGUGAAGAUGCAGGUUACCCGCGACAGGACGGAAAGACCCCGUGGAGCUUUACUGCAACCUGAUAUGGAAUGUUUGUACCGCUUGUACAGGAUAGGUAGGAGCCGAAGAGACGUGUGCGCUAGCAUACGAGGAGGCAAUGGUGGGAUACUACCCUGGCUGUAUGACCAUUCUAACCCGCCACGCUUAGCGCGUGGGGAGACAGUGUCAGGUGGGCAGUUUGACUGGGGCGGUCGCCUCCUAAAGAG